ACUCCUACGGGAGGCAGCAGUGGGGAAUAUUGCACAAUGGGCGCAAGCCUGAUGCAGCCAUGCCGCGUGUAUGAAGAAGGCCUUCGGGUUGUAAAGUACUUUUCAGCAGUGAGGAAGGUGGAUAUGUUAAUAGCAUAUUCAUUUGACGUUAGCUGCAGAAGAAGCACCGGCUAACUCCGUGCCAGCAGCCGCGGUAAUACGGAGGGUGCGAGCGUUAAUCGGAAUUACUGGGCGUAAAGCGCAUGCAGGUGGUUUGUUAAGUCAGAUGUGAAAGCCCGGGGCUCAACCUCGGAAUUGCAUUUGAAACUGGCAAACUAGAGUACUGUAGAGGGGGGUAGAAUUUCAGGUGUAGCGGUGAAAUGCGUAGAGAUCUGAAGGAUACCGGUGGCGAAGGCGGCCCCCUGGACAGAUACUGACAUCCAGAUGCGAAAGCUGGGGAGCAAACAGGAUUAGAUACCCUGGUAGGCUCU
This 470-nucleotide ribosomal RNA is filed under the name uncultured bacterium. RNAcentral describes it as "bacterial SSU rRNA". It matches the Rfam family "Bacterial small subunit ribosomal RNA", at positions 335 to 798 of the family's 1533-position model. The record is from RNAcentral.